ACCAAGGCCGCCGUCCGUCCGUCCGAGAGCACCAUCCGGCUAGCCGCAUCUAAUAACCGUUCAGGCAAAGUCUUCACCAAGCGAUCAUCCUGACGACAACGAUUCAGCCUCAACACUUCAAGACGACUUCAAGGAUCAUCAAGAGGAGCAAGGCGAGGUCAUCUCAUGAUCUUCUUCAACGUUCAACCUUUCGACAAGCCGAGCUUCAACCAUUCUCACCGAAGGUUCGUGGAACGCAUCACCACCAAGGAACCUUCGAUCAAGACAAGCUUUGGGAAGCUUAGCUCGAGUGCCUUCACCUCCACGUCCGAGUGAAGGCAUCCCUAAGACGUUAGGUGAGCUGUACUCUUUUUCCCAACUUCGGGUUUGUCCCAAUGGGUUUACCGAAGGGGUUUUAACGAGGCAGCAAGUCUAAUGCAUCUCCACUGCGAUCCCACUCGACUCACGACUUGGAAACGUUAGUAGACAAGCUCCGGAGCCGAGGAAGUGAAGAUCCUAUCUCCAAGAAGGCAUCCAUCUUCAAUAAAGCCUUCUCCAUCGAUCCUUAUCGAUCCGUUUCUAUUUUCUCGAAUAAUUCUCGGUCGUUUCACUUUUUACCGAGAAUUUCUCGAUCCUUUUACCUUUUUAUCGAGAAUUACUCGAUCUUUUCACCUUUGACCGAGAGAGCCGUUAGAAAACGCGCUUUCUCGCUUUUCCUUUGUGUGGAGCUUAAAGACCCACGUGUCUAGGGCAACUUUAAGCCCACUUUCUCGAUCACUUGUCUAUUUAAGGGCAAGCUCUCGAUUGUAAUAGGGACGCUUGAAUAAAAUACCGAAAAUGUUUCCUUUUCUCGCGUCUCUCUUCGUUUUCUCGAGCCGUGAAGGCUAGAGAUCAAAAAUCCUUGAAGAUCCUCGAACCGGGUUUCGUUGAUCUUCAAGCCGACCGUAUCGUGAGUUCCUUCCCAUAGCUCACGUGGCGUCAUUCGAUCCACACACACCCAGCCCGAGUACUCCUUCAUUUGUACGAAGGGUACUCUCCACCCCCAAAUCUUCCAUCGAAGGCUCCGACGGUUUCCGAGCCCAGUCAACGACCAACGGACGUGCCAUCGAUCAUAUCCAUCGCACCCGGGGGUUUAUCAACUGGUAUCAGAGCCAAAGGUUCUAUCGUGUUAGGUUGUAUCUAUCCUUUAUCAUUUUUUUUAUCGAGUCAUUUCUUCGCACUUGCAUGUUUUAUCGAGAAAAACCCUAUAAAAAUCGUAUUUUUGCAUCUUGUUUCGAGUCUUGUCGUAUUUUAUGCUUCCGCCUGCAUCUCUUCCACCGUAGAUCUGUUAAAGUCGUGUUUUUGCAUCUAGAUCGAUUGAGUUUUUAGAUUCUUUGCAUCGCUCUCAAAAGUUUUUCGAUAAAGUUCGCAUCUUUGCAUAUUUUCUCGAUCUUUUGUUUGUUGUAUCGAGUCUCUGCGUGUUUUCUGGUCUUUUUAUCGAGUCUUAGCUUGUUUAUUGCUUUGUUUCUGUUGUUUGUGUUCGGAUCCAUCGAGUUUCUCGAUAGAUCUUGUGUUCUCGUCAAAAGUCUCGGAAAAAGUUUGCACCUUUGCAUUCUUCGUCGAGAUUUUUGCAAAUUUAAGGUAUUUUGUCGAGUCUUUGUUUGUUUCUUGCUUUCUUUCUAUUGUUCUUGUCUAUAUCUUUCGAGUUUCUCGAUUGAUCUUGUGUUGUCGUCAAAAGUCUCAGUAAAGUUUGCACCUUUGCACCCUUCGUCGAGAGUUUUGCAAAUUUCUGGUAAUUUUGUCGAGUAAUAGUUUGAGUCUAGCUUUCUUUUUGUUGUUUGAGUCUAGAUCUUUCGAGUUUCUCGAUCGAUCUUGCAUCGUUUCGAAAAUUAUCGAAGAGAUUUGCAUUCUUGCAUCUUUCAUCGAGAAUUUUGUGCGAUUUUGUGUUUCUUGCGAGAGUUGUUUUUGUUCUUGCUUAGUUUUUGCUAGAUCUGUUCUUAGGGUCUUUGCUUUUUGUUUUUGUGUUAUAGGGUGUUAGAUCUUGUCUUGUUUCCCUUUUUGCUUCCUUGUUUGUUUUGCUUUUGCUUGGUAAAAUUACAAGGGUAAAAGUCAUUUGGUUUCUACCACUUGCUUUUUUCUCUUUAAUUCCUAGCCUUUCCUUUUGAAUUCAAAGUUGGUCAAAACCACUUUUGAAUUUUUGUGUGGUGUUAGGUCCUAGCUUUUGUUGUGUGGUCUUAGUUGUUUUGUCUUGUUCUUCUUUUGCUUUUGCUUUCUUGCUUUUGCUUUUACUUUUACUUUUUGAGAUUAUUCAUUUGAUCAUUGAUCUUGUAUUUAAUCUCUCCUUUCUUUUCUUGUGUCUUGCGAGGUACUCCACCGAACAACCAUCGGUGACCGGACGAACCGCCGUCGCUGCCGGAGUCCGAUCGUACCAUCCCUCUCGCACCCGACAGUUGUCCACUGUCGCACCCGAUCGUCCGUACCGACCAUCCGUCCGUACCGACAGCCGAACAUCGACCAGCCGUCCGUACUCGCCGGAAUUCCGUACAAUCCGUCCGUACCAUCGACCGAGAGCAUUCCAAUGUUGUGAUCUACACCAUUCAACAUCGAUCAAGUAUGGGAUAUGUCCGGGUCGACUCCGACAAUGAUUCUUGGCGUGAGUACGACCACCAUGUCGAUCAAGAGGAUGAACCAUGGCAUGAUGAAGGCUAUGACAGCAACCCGGAUCAAGAGCCAACCGAGAACGUAUCCCCGGGUUAUUGGCCAUCAUCAUCACAAGCCAUCCGCCAUCAUGAGCCACGGACAAAGUUAUAUGAAGAUGAGUCCGAUAGUGAUGACUUGAGCUUCGGUCAUGAGGUCGUAAGAAAUCGAUCUCCGAAGAAGUUGGUGCUUACUUCCGAAGUAGCAGGUCUAAGGGAUUCGUUCGAUUCUCUCGAAGCCAAACUUCAACUCAUUGAAGAAUGGUAUGCUCGGGAAGCGACAUCCAAGCGUCAACACCGUACAUCAUCACCACCGGAUCAACAAAUCAGUCCGGAAGAAGUCAUUGGUUCAGGAGGAACCAAAGACAACCCAGUCCAGCCAGCCGAAGUCGAAGCUAGCGCAUCCGGCAACGUUCACCAAGAGGAGUCAUCGACCAGAAUGAGUUCUCCUGAUCAUUUGGCCAUGGGAUUCGAAAAUCACUCGAAAACCAUGCAUUUAAAUGAUUCUGGUCGAAGCAGAAUGUUGAGUGGAUCAGUUUCCGUUGAAGUUGGUCGAGAUACUCAACCCGGAGACGAGCAACGAGUGGAGAAGCCAACCAGAUUGAGUUCUACUCGUCUAUUGACUAUGGGAUUCGAAAGUCACUCGAAAACCAUGUCUUUAGAUGAUUUGGGUCGAAGCACUUUCCUUAGUGGAUCAGUUCCUGUUGGAGCCGAUCGAGAUAUGCUUCCCAAAGACGUACCGGGAUUGGAGCAGUCGACCAUUCUGGAAUUCGUUGAUCUUUUGGCUAAGGGCUCUCGUUUUCACUCGAUACUGAGGCAUUCUGGAGACAUGGGUCAUGACAGAUCUAGUGGUUAUCGAUCUCAUUUGAGAGUUGAUCGAGAGGUGCUUCCUCAUUCGACAUAUGGCCGUGUAAGGCGUAUGCACCCACCCGAGAGGACAACUGAUGGUCCUAUCGCUUUAGUACUGUUUCAACCAGCCAUGGUGAAGUAUAUCCUCCAGCUGGGAGUUGCCGAGGCAGUACCCACCUUUCCCACCCAACGCACUAAGGCCGAUUUCGCUAAAGGGGUCUCGGCCACAAUCUUUUGCAACUUUGGUGCGAUCCAAUCCUAUGUGUGGCAUCCUGGAGAGUUUCAACCAGCCUCCAAUGAUUUUAAAGAAGCUACCAAUGCCACCAGCUUCACCGGGGAAGUUUAAGUCUUUUUACUUAGAACUUUAAUUUUUCCAUUCGAUCCCGGUAUAUUGUUUUGUAGCUUCCUUCUUGAUGCUACUGAUAUGGUUUCUUUUUGAUCCAGGUACUAAGCUAAGUUUUGAGGACAAAACUUCAAUAAGAGGGAGGGAAUGAUGCGUCCCCGGAAAUCGAGUCACCAAGGCCGCCGUCUGUCCGUCCGAGAGCACCAUCCGGCCGGCCGCAUCUAAUAACCAUUCGGGCAAAGUCUUCACCAAGCGAUCAUCCCGACGACAACGAUUCAGCCUCAACACUUCAAGACGACUUCAAGGAUCAUCAAGAGGAGGAAGGCGAGGUCAUCUCAUGAUCUUCUUCAACGUUCAACCUUUCGACAAGCCGAGCUUCAACCAUUCUCACCGAAGGUUUGUGGAACGCAUCACCACCGAGGAACCUUCGAUCAAGACAAGCUUUGGGAAGCUUAGCUCAAGUGCCUUCACCUCCACGUCCGAGUGAAGGCAUCCCUAAGACGUUAGGUGAGCUGUACUCUUUUUCCCAACUUUGGGUUUGUCCCAAUGGGUUUACCGAAGGGGUUUUAAAGAGGCAGCAAGUCUAAUGCAUCUCCACUUCGAUCCCACUCGACUCACGACUUGGAAACGUUAGUAGACAAGCUCCGGAGCCGAGGAAGUGAAGAUCCUAUCUCCAAGAAGGCAUCCAUCUUCAAUAAAGCCUUCUCCAUCGAUACUUAUCAAUCCGUUUCUAUUUUCUCGAAUAAUUCUCGGUCGUUUUACUUUUUACCGAGAAUUUCUCGAUCCUUUUACCUUUUUAUCGAGAAUUACUCGAUCUUUUCACCUUUGACCAAGAGAGCCGUUAGAAAACGCGCUUUCUCGCUUUUCCUUUGUGUGGAGCUUAAAGACCCACGUGUCUAGGGCAACUUUAAGCCCACUUUCUUGAUCACUUGUCUAUUUAAGGGCAAGUCUCUCGAUUGUAAUAUGGACCCUUGAAUAAACUACCGAA
This 4834-nucleotide long non-coding RNA is filed under the name Capsella rubella. RNAcentral describes it as "long non-coding RNA (CRUB_LNC000432)". Lineage: Eukaryota; Viridiplantae; Streptophyta; Magnoliopsida; Brassicales; Brassicaceae. The record is from RNAcentral.